RNAcentral lists this ribosomal RNA (875 nucleotides) under human gut metagenome. RNAcentral describes it as "bacterial SSU rRNA". It matches the Rfam family "Bacterial small subunit ribosomal RNA", at positions 8 to 896 of the family's 1533-position model. The record is from RNAcentral.
AGAGUUUGAUCCUGGCUCAGGACGAACGCUGGCGGCGCGCCUAACACAUGCAAGUCGAACGAGAGAUGAGGAGCUUGCUCUUCAAAUCGAGUGGCGAACGGGUGAGUAACGCGUGAGGAACCUGCCUCAAAGAGGGGGACAACAGUUGGAAACGACUGCUAAUACCGCAUAAGCCCACGGCUCGGCAUCGAGCAGAGGGAAAAGGAGCAAUCCGCUUUGAGAUGGCCUCGCGUCCGAUUAGCUAGUUGGUGAGGUAACGGCCCACCAAGGCGACGAUCGGUAGCCGGACUGAGAGGUUGAACGGCCACAUUGGGACUGAGACACGGCCCAGACUCCUACGGGAGGCAGCAGUGGGGGAUAUUGCACAAUGGGGGAAACCCUGAUGCAGCGACGCCGCGUGGAGGAAGAAGGUCUUCGGAUUGUAAACUCCUGUUGUUGAGGAAGAUAAUGACGGUACUCAACAAGGAAGUGACGGCUAACUACGUGCCAGCAGCCGCGGUAAAACGUAGGUCACAAGCGUUGUCCGGAAUUACUGGGUGUAAAGGGAGCGCAGGCGGGAGAACAAGUUGGAAGUGAAAUCCAUGGGCUCAACCCAUGAACUGCUUUCAAAACUGUUUUUCUUGAGUAGUGCAGAGGUAGGCGGAAUUCCCGGUGUAGCGGUGGAAUGCGUAGAUAUCGGGAGGAACACCAGUGGCGAAGGCGGCCUACUGGGCACCAACUGACGCUGAGGCUCGAAAGUGUGGGUAGCAAACAGGAUUAGAUACCCUGGUAGUCCACACCGUAAACGAUGAUUACUAGGUGUUGGAGGAUUGACCCCUUCAGUGCCGCAGUUAACACAAUAAGUAAUCCACCUGGGGAGUACGACCGCAAGGUUG